GUAACAGUGGCACAAGGCCAGGCCAACACAACCAGGGAAAGCCUUGAUUUUAUAUCUGAUGGGGAAUGAGUAGAAGUUCACUGGCUAUGUAGGGAAUGCUUGUCAGGGAAGAUGAGCACCAAGAGCUAAAGCCCAGAAGUAGAAAGGAGUAAAGAGCCAAAGAGGCUGUUGAAUAAGCCAACCCAGGUCUUGUGUCUGAGCACAGGGAACACAGGGUGGCGUGAGAAGAGACUGACCAGUGGGCAGGGCCUGGGUCUUACAGGGCCAUGUCAGACAUACCAUGUCUUUUACCAUUUGUUUUAACAGCUGCAUCAUGAAUGCGUUCCAAGCCAGCCAUGAGAAUCUAAUUUUGACAAGAUCACCAAAAUUUUGGGGAGCUGAAAGGUCAUUAGAAGGGUCGUCAGUCCAUGGGAGAGAGCAGCUGGGAAGCCAUUGUGAAAACCAGUUAUAAUUUCAGAGAAGAUGCAGAAAGAAAGAGGAUCUUUUGGAAAACCUCAAUCAGCAUCUGCAAAUCAUCUACAGAAUCUAUGAAACCUGUCCAAGUGAAGAUGGCUGCUGCAGGCAACGCGAUUGCACAAUGUUCUUUCAUAUGCCUAAUCUCUUCUUUCUCAACAUAAGGCUUUAUACAUACAUGCCAUCAUAUCAUGCCAGAAUUUGUCAUCUCUACACUAUCACCUUUUCCUGAUGGGGUAAUGAGGAGAGUCUAGAUUCCUGUAGUUCAAGCACUGUGUCUAUUCUCCAGGUUAGCUAGAAGGUGAUUUCUCAAAAAUAGAGCCAUUUGUAAUUGUC
Molecule: long non-coding RNA, 789 nt
Filed under: Callithrix jacchus (white-tufted-ear marmoset)
Lineage: Eukaryota; Metazoa; Chordata; Mammalia; Primates; Cebidae
Description: lncRNA (ENSCJAG00000074594.1)
Source: RNAcentral